This 335-nucleotide unclassified non-coding RNA is filed under the name soil metagenome. RNAcentral's name for it is "partial contains 5.8S ribosomal RNA, internal transcribed spacer 2, and large subunit ribosomal RNA". The stretch from base 1 to 120 matches the Rfam family "5.8S ribosomal RNA", at positions 35 to 154 of the family's 154-position model. The record is from RNAcentral.
GAUGAAGAACGCAGCGAAAUGCGAUAAGUAAUGUGAAUUGCAGAAUUCCGUGAAUCAUCGAAUCUUUGAACGCACAUUGCGCCCCCUGGUAUUCCGGGGGGCAUGCCUGUCCGAGCGUCAUUGCAACCCUCAAGCGCGGCUUGUGUGUUGGGCUUCGUCCCCCCGUGGACGUGCCCGAAAGGCAGUGGCGGCGUCCCGAAUGGUGCCCGAGCGUAUGGGAACUCUCUUCCGCUCGAACCGGCCCAUUCGGCGCUGGUCGAACCCCAAUUUUUUUUUACCGGUUGACCUCGGAUCAGGUAGGGAUACCCGCUGAACUUAAGCAUAUCAGCGGAGGA